UGGUGCCCUAAUGGGGUAAACUCCUGAGGGUGAAAAGGGAACCAGGUGAGAUUCCUGGACAGACGGUGCUGCUGUGUGCCUCAUCAAGAGAAACCCUCACCGGGUCACUGCAAAACAGCGUCCAUGCAUUGGCGCAGCUAUGUGGGAAGGCCAGGUGACAAUAAUGGGUCGAGGCGAGUCAGAAGACCUGCCAAGUCGC
This 199-nucleotide non-coding RNA is filed under the name bovine gut metagenome. The record is from RNAcentral.